GCCGUCACAUGCCCGGUGGUUGUGCGAUUGUUACUGCGCUCUUUCCUCCCCGUUAUCCCCGUGUUGUGAUUGCGUAGCUUUUGUUUUGGUGCUAUCGGGCACUUUGUCGUGCCGUAGUGUCUGUGACAGUGCAAUGAGCGCGAGCAACGACCACGACGUCAUGCGUGACGGUGGUAAGACUACCGCACCAAGGUUUGUGUAUACGGCCGAAGAACGCGAGCUGCUUCGCAACUUGGUGAUGCGGCACAGGUCCGUCAUCGAAAACAAAAGAACGGACAACGUGUCGAAGCGCGCCAAGGACAUCGGCUGGGAAAAAAUUACCGAAGAGUACAACAGCCAACCAGGCAUUCGUCGCGUGACGGUUUCGAAGUUGCGGAAGCUGUGGGACAAUGAAAAGACAAAGUGGAAAAAAAUGCAGUCGGAACAAAGGCGGAACUUGUACGCAACAGGGGGUGGUCCAUCGACCUGCCGGCCAAUGAGCCCGUCGUAGGGGCGGCAGCCUCGCAUAUGGCGACACGGCUCCCCAACCCCUAUGACAGCGAUGGAGCACACAUCGGCCAGCCGGUGCUGUCUCUACCGCCGGCACGCAUCUUUGAGAGCAUGGUGACUGGCAGUGAAGACACCAUGGAAGAGCUGCUCGAUGCCCUUUGCCCAGCACCACGCCCCGGGCAGCAAAAGGCUGACUUGCCAAAAAGCCAGUACAUGUCAACUGCGAGAGAUAAAACUCGCCAGUCAACUCAACAUUGUGCUGCCAUUGAAGCACUGGUUCAUGAAGGACAGUCUCUUUUUCGCAAUUUGUUUCUCUUGCAUGCUUCCAUGUACGUUGAGGAGCUGUCCCCAUCUGUUUUAUUAUCAAGGUGUUUGUGUGGUGUCAAUGUUGCAUGCAACUAGCACCUGUUAUUCG
Molecule: RNA transcript, 904 nt
Organism: Rhipicephalus sanguineus (brown dog tick)
Lineage: Eukaryota; Metazoa; Arthropoda; Arachnida; Ixodida; Ixodidae
Exons: 3
Source: RefSeq, a predicted model, not a curated record